This 253-nucleotide ribosomal RNA is filed under the name uncultured bacterium. Its description in RNAcentral is "partial 16S ribosomal RNA". It matches the Rfam family "Bacterial small subunit ribosomal RNA", at positions 524 to 776 of the family's 1533-position model. The record is from RNAcentral.
UACGGAGGGGGUUAGCGUUGUUCGGAAUUACUGGGCGUAAAGCGUCCGUAGGCGGUUUCAAAAGUCUGUUGUUAAAGCCCACAGCUCAACUGUGGAUCGGCAAUGGAAACUGUGAGACUAGAGAGUGGUAGGGGUAGAGGGAAUACCUAGUGUAUCGGUGAAAUGCGUAGAUAUUAGGAAGAACACCAGUGGCGAAGGCGCUCUACUGGGCCAUUACUGACGCUGAUGGACGAAAGCUAGGGGAGCGAAAGGG